This 740-nucleotide long non-coding RNA is filed under the name Anthonomus grandis grandis. Its description in RNAcentral is "uncharacterized LOC126750695". The record is from RNAcentral. Lineage: Eukaryota; Metazoa; Arthropoda; Insecta; Coleoptera; Curculionidae.
UUUCAAAAAUACUUGCCAGUACUCCAAAUUCUAUUAAUAAUAUUCCGUCUAUAUUUUACAGUUCUUAGAACAUCUAUCUUAUCAAUGGUUGAAAAUUGAUGGAAAAACCCGUCCUCACUACUACUAUCCUGGUAGCUAGUGUUUCAAAGGACAGAGCUUUAAGAAACAUAACAAAAGUGUUUACCUAAAAAUGAAAAAUUCCGGAACUUCUGAAUUAAAAAGACAUUUUAAAGCACAGCAUGGGAUGUUACCUCACAUAGAGCCUGAUCGAAGCAAGGUUCAAUUUUCUCCACCUGAUUCAGAACACUUCCACUUAACGGCAAGUACUAGUAUUUUAGAUUUGAUAGGCAGAAGUCAUAAAGAAAAUGUAAGUUAAGAUUAAUUAUUAUAGCUUGUAUAAUACUCACAUUUUUUAAUUAGAGACAGAUAGUGGGCGGAAGGGGAGACUUAGCGGAGGGGUGCUUAAAAGUCGCGAUGGCAUACGUUAAAAAGAAAAUAUACACCUAUAUAUGAGAAAAUAAGAGUCCUGUAAUGAGCUGCCUGAAAGCAAGUGGUUCAAAAAUUUUGUUGACUAUUGAUGGAUGGUCAUCUAUUGAUUUUGUGCCUGCUGAGGGAAACCAUAAAGCUACAUCUAUUGCCAACAUUCUCUUUGAAAUGCUGAAUUGAAGUGAGAUAACUGUUAAGGCGGCUGUUAAUUUUACAGUGAUGCAUUCUUUGGAAACUGUAGUUUCCAGUUUUGA